AAAAAAAAAAAAAAAAAAGCAAGCCAAAGUGAAACUAUCAAAAGCUAGCAGAAACCAUUAACUAAAUAAUCAAAGGCAAAAACCAAAAGCUGAUCAACUAGAAGAUGAUCAGACCACAGAUAACCAAAAUUAAACAAAUUUAAAUGAUCAAACCAGAAAACCAAAGCCAAAAGCUGAUCAACUAGAAGAUGAUCAGACCACAGAUAACCAAAAUUAAACAAAUUUAAAUGAUCAAACCAGAAAACCAAAG
RNAcentral lists this unclassified non-coding RNA (250 nucleotides) under Hevea brasiliensis (rubber tree). The record is from RNAcentral. Lineage: Eukaryota; Viridiplantae; Streptophyta; Magnoliopsida; Malpighiales; Euphorbiaceae.